This 21177-nucleotide long non-coding RNA is filed under the name Eucalyptus grandis. RNAcentral describes it as "long non-coding RNA (EGRA_LNC001758)". Lineage: Eukaryota; Viridiplantae; Streptophyta; Magnoliopsida; Myrtales; Myrtaceae. The record is from RNAcentral.
AAAUUUCAAUUUUCCCCCUUCCCGCUUUUUUGUUUUAUUUGUUUGCGGGAAUUUCCCUUUUUCAAUCUUCAACUAUCUGUUGUUUACUUCUACUAGUGUUGGACCACGUGCGUCGCACAUGACCUGGUGAUGUUGGGCUAUAAUUUAUCAUGCCCCAGGACUCUGCUCUUGCCCUCUUUUUGUUAGAUUCCUCUCUGUUUCUGUACGCCUUCUUGUCUUCACCUUGAGAAGUUAUAGUCGAUCUUCCUUCGCUGAACCCUCCCACUUACCUCUCUUUACAUAACGCUUCUCUUCUUUGGGUGAAUAUAGCUGAGAGGAUCGGCCCUCAGAUGGGAUCCGAUGGAGGCCCAACUCUAAUCACCAUCCUCGCUUUGGCUGUAGCGAGAGUGUAAGUGCUCUAACAACAACAACCCAGAUGGACUCAGUUCAACAGCAGGUGGAGGCUAUGUGGAGUUCAUUGAUUAAUGAAGUUUCGUGAAGACAAUGGGCUAGCCUGUCUAUGGGCAAUCAAUGUCACAAAUAUUGUUAGCCUAUUCAAGUCCUAACAAUUGCAGGAACCUCAAAGAAAACAUGGGAAGCAAUGUUUUAUAAGGACCGUUGUCUUCCAAAAGUAUCAUGUGAACCACAAAAAAAAAUCGUCGUAGAAGUUGAAUAACAAUAGGACGAACUUACCCACUGGUGGACAGUUGAAUUGGUUCAGCUUUGGGCACUUCACCGCAAAGGUCCUAGGGUCGAAACUUCGUAGCUGUUAACAUGUCUUAAGUGAGGGGUCAUGGUGGUGGGGUCCUAUGCUAGCUUCCCUCCAAGUAUUGACGCUUGGUCCGAGGUGCACCACGCACCACGCAUUGUACGGGUCAUGGGUUAGCAAUUAGCGUAAGCGAAAGUAGGGCCCGGUGGAUCCUGGGUCACAAAAAAAAAAAAAAAAAACAAUAGGACAUACUUUGAUCUGUUACUAUUUGAUUUCCACAAACAGCUUGAAUGGCCUCCCGCAAAUCCUUCUCACUGAGCUGGAGAUUUCGAACUAAUUGCUGCCCAAUAUCUUCACAGAAACAAAAUCAUUUUUUUCUUGCACUUCCGAGCAUUGUCCAAAAGGGAGGCAAGAUGUGUGCCCAUUAUAGGGCCACUAGCAUCGCACAAAACCUGGUGCAAGGUCACAGAUUGUUACCAAACCCCAAAUAUCCUCUGGAGAAAGACAAAAUUGAAUUGAAAAACAAACUUAUAACUGAAUACAUGCCUUUGGUUGUUGGGAUAUGAAAUUGUCCACAGCCUGCAGAACUGAUGUGUUGUGAAGACCAGCUUUAGUGAGAAUUCUCCUGGCUAAACCAUCCUUUUGCUCCAAAAGAGCUCUCAUUAGAUGCUCAGUUUCCACCACUUGUUGUUUGCAAACUUGAGCUGCAUCAACAGCAUCAAUAAUGCUCUCCCAGGCCAUCUCAGUGAACUCUGAUGGAUUCGUCUGAGUCGAACAAAGUCAGACUUCAAGUACAUCCAUUAGAAAAAACAUAACAAAUGAAACAGGCAGACUUCUCUUCCAGAAACUCCAACUAAAGGAUGACGAGGAAAAAAUUGCCAGGUCAAUCCUGCUAUAUUAAACACAAAGGUCCAGUAAAUAUGAGAUGCUUACUCGGUUGGUAAGUAACCUUUGAAUGUUUAUCACAUUAAACUCCAGUCCACCAUAUCUUGAACUUUGAAGGAAAUCAAAGGCAAACAUGCCAAGUACAGAUUCAUCAUCAAAACACGAAAAAAUUAAACAGCCAGCUUUAUACUUUGUAUGUUGAAAAUCAGACACUUAGUUUUAACUCAAGGACCGUGUUAACUUGUAAAAUCAAGGAACUGUCGCCUCCCCUGCUAAGAAAAUGUAAUAGCCACCAUGUGUUAGGCGGACCUUCAUAAGCAAAAGCUCACGGAAGAUGGGGAAGUUGAAUGCAGAAUUUUAGUAGAUUUGCAGCUCAUAAUUCUCCAAAUUAUACCAUAAAGAACCAUCAAACGAUAUUUUUAAUUUAACAUUCAUUGCGAAUACAGCCAAAAGUAAUGCACUUUAGUGAUACCGGAGAAAAGUUUAUUUCGUUAAGCUUAUGAUGUCUACAUCGAACGCCCCAUACAUCUCUAUUCUAUAACUGCAGAACCUAGAAAGAUCAUUCCCGGAGGCGACUGUAGUCACAACAUAGCACAAAAAGCACCAAACUUUAAGUCCCAAAAGCUUCAGCAACACCAAAAGAAGAUAACGGAAAAAUUGCAUUAAACUCUAACAGCAAAACCUCAAAUAAAAUGGAAAUGUCAUGGGCUCCUAGCAUCAAGCCGACGCUGAGCGACAAAAACACUUCAAGAUCACACCUUUCAAUUAUAUCACAAAAUACCCACAUUCACAUAAUGAAAUUUGAUCGAAUUCCAACCUGAGACGCGCUCGCGGCGGUCGAGUAAGCCUGAGAGGGAAGGCCAGAGCCUCGCGAACCGAUGCUGACGACGCCGCAGAGCUCGACGGCCUCGGCAGAUACCAAGGUGAGGACAUUAGCCUCACGAAGCGGUGGGCCGGUCAGCGGGUGAACAGAGUUCCCGAAACCAGGAGUGGAGCCGGAGAGCGAGCGAGAGCGGUAGAGGACAGAGGCGGCUCCAGUGGCGGCGGCGGAGGAGGAGCGUUUGGGAGGCGCCGAGGCCGCGUUUAUGGCGGCGAAGGCGGUCUUGGUGAGCUUGGAGGUGGUUCUCCUCGUGGCCAUGGAAGGAGCGCGGGAGGUUUAUGAACUGCUAUAAAAAUCUAAAUUAUAAUUAUUUUUAUAUUUCUUUUUUCUUUUUUUUUUCUUUAUUCUUUCCUCUCUCUUUUUUUUUUUAAUUAUUCCUCCUUCCUUAACCAGUGGCCAACACGGUAACGACAGUGAUCAACCAAGCAAGGCUCAAGCUUACUGGCCUCAGGUGAGCUUGAGGUCAUCAAUGAGUGGCGAGGUGCAAGCCUCACCAAUUUCUUUCUAGCGAGGUUCAAACUCACCAAAUUUGACGAGAAUCAAGUUGGUUGGCAUCGAGUGAGCCUCCAACUUGCCGAUUUGGUGAGCUUGGCGUCUGGUGAGCUAUGGCCGGCCACUGCCAGCUAAAGAAGAAUAAGAAAAAGAAAAAAUAAUAAUUAAAAUUAUUUUUAAAAAAUAAAAUAAAAAUACUAAAAAUUGAUUUUUUUUUAAAUUAUAAAAAUUGUCCAUUAAUUUAUAUUGCAUGAAAGUGUUUUAGCAAUAUCAUUUUUUUUUUUGGUAUUGCAUCAUGCAAUACAAAAGAAUGAUUUUUCACAUAUAAACAAAUAUUAUUUUCAUGUCAAUUAUUAACUUAUCAAAUUUUUUUUAUCAAGAAUUCUUCAAAAGUAUUUGAAUUUAAAGGUUUCUCACUUUUUUUUUAUUUUUACUAACUGGUUGACAAUGUCAACCAAAGGAAAGAAAGAUAAAAUAAAAAAGAAAAGGGAAAAAAGGAAGAAAAGUUGAAGAAGAAAGGGCCAAAAAUCUGAUCGCGGGAGAGAGAGCGGUGGGAGAGGUGGGGCCCAGGAGGGGGCGGAAGGCUUCCGACGCGCGGUGGAACCGGGCGACACGUGUGUCGUGUCGCCCGGUGAAAGAGAUGAGAUUUGGACGCGCUGGCCUCUCUCUCCUAUCCAAUAAAAUUUUCUCCUUCGGCCUUCGUGCCUUCCGGAUGUGCUGUCGAAGGUAAGUGUACAGCUACAUGAGAAUCGCCACCUUGUCUUGAUGCUAUAUGAGGAAAAGCCACAUUGGGCGGAGGUGAUUCCGGUUCGGACAAUACCACCACCGGCGGUUUUCGCUUUCCCCCAGGUUACGUCGACCAAGCGUAUAGAUCGCCGACGCGUGGCACAUGAAUCCGUACGGGCAAUUUUGGAUUGGGGGAGGGGGUCUCGGGCAGCGGGACGUUAAUGACAAUAUAAGAUAUGAAAGAGAGAACUUGAAAAUAGCCACUUUCCUUUUUGUUGCCUAUCUAAUCUUUUGUGAUUUGCACAUUGUUCCCUUCUUCCUAGGUGCACUAUUCUUUGACAAUUUACGUGGCAUAUAUGGAUAUUUUGUAAAGUUUUAGGGCAUGUAGCAGUAAUGGAAAGAGAGAAAAAGAUCGAAAGGAUUGAAAAAAAAAAACGUGAAGAAAAGUGAGGGCGACAAAGAUGACAAAAUAGAAUAUAUAUAUAUAUAUAUAUAUAUAUAUAUAUAGAGAGAGAGAGAGAGAGAGAGAGAGAGAGAGAGAGAGUGAAAAAAAUGUUGAACCCUAAUGUUAUCAUUCGGACUAAUGAAUUCCUCAUGUCAAACUCUAAACUUGUGGUUUCCUUUUCCCGCACGACAAAUGAGAUUGGGAGGGCAUUGUGAUCGCACCACUCCGCUUACGAUGUCAUUUUAUAUAUUUCCUAUUAUAAGAAAAGAAAAGAAGGGGAAAGGAGCAAGAACAAAAAUACAUUAGAAUGUCUUUUGUAGAUUGCAUAGUUAACAUUCCAUAACAUAUCAUUUAAAAUUCAUAAUAUUCAUUCAUUUUGUCUCCAUAUCUUCCUAAAUAAUGGUUUGAAGAAAACCCAGUGGUGAUUGAUAGUGACAUGCUUUGCUUUGGCUUAGUCAAUCUAGGUUCCUUAAAUUUUCUACAAUCUAUUUACUACUCAGAUUAUUGGAUGUUAUUUUUCUGAUCGUGCACUUGUAUAAUCACCACUCAAUUGUAAGUGGUAUGGGAUAAAAUGGAUAAAUACUGCAUGCAAAGUAUUUUCAAAAUAAUUUUAAAGGUGAAAAAGUCUCCGUAGUCUAAACAAGAUAGGCGUGCAAUGCCAAUUGGCAAAGUCUUAAUUAUUGAAUAAGCAAUUUUUGGCGUGUGCUCAUCAUCUAUGUAGCAUUGACACUUUCCGAAAGCUUUCAUAUUGUGUCCAACGUUCCGACACAUGUUUGACAUGUGUCCGACAUGCUCCGACAUGUUUUGACACGCAGUUAUCAAGUGUCGAAAAAUUUGACAUGUGAUCAACUCUCUCUGACAUGCUCUGAUACCCGAGUCUAGAAUUCCAACACGCAUGGGUCAAUUUUAAAAAUUUUCAAUACUUGAGAGGUAAAAAAUAUAAAAAUACAAAAAGAAGAAGAAGAAGAAGAAGAAGAGGUAGGGCUGGUGGUUGGGCGCUGCUGCCGGUGCCACUAUUGGAGGGGGCCGGCGAGGUGAUAGAGGGGGGGCAGUCCUCGUUGGCCCGAGCGAGGCCAUCACCAGCCAAACAAGGGUUGGUGAGGCUCGCCCAAAUCUAGGCGAUGCCUCGAUUGAGGCUCGAGUGAGGCUCGCCCAGAUCUGGGUGACGUUGCGUCCUCGCUCGGGCCCAAUGAGGGCCAACAAGGACCAGUGAGGCCUCGCCUAGGGCUGCGGAGGCUUGUUGGCCAUAGGCAUUAGCCCUAGGCGAGGGCCGGCGUUGCCCAGAUCUGGGCGAGCCUCGCUCGGGCCUCACUUGGGCAGGUGAGGGUCACCCUCCCUCUGCUGCCUCGCUAGCCCCCUCCGAUGGUGGCUAGGCACACUUUUGAUGGGGACAGCGGUAGCAGCAUGCCCAGAGACACGACUGUGGCUCUUUUUUUUUUUUUCAAUUUUUUUUAGAAGUAUUUUAUCUUUUUUAAAAGUCUUUUACUAAUGAUAAAUAAAUAAAUUUAGAAAUACCAUUUCAGCAUUUUCCUUUAAACACUGUUUUUUCCCUCUAAGUUUUAUGUAUUAUUGUAAUGAAAUAAAGUUGAAUUUGUCAAAUUAAAAUAAUGAAUGAUAUUAACAAAUGUUGAAUUUUUACCCAAAAAAAGCAAAUGUUGAAUUAAUAUAUUUAGUAUAAAUUAAUUCUAGACUCUUUUUAUUAUUAUUUAUUUAUGUUUUUAUAUAUAACGUGUUGGAAUGUGUCGGAAUUCUCUAUUUUUAAGAAAUGAUAUGUCGGCGUGUGGUGUUAUGUCAUAUAGCGUGUCCGUGUCAGUGCUACAUAGCUUAUCAUUGACAAAAAUAUGAAAUCUAUUGAUCGGUCGCCAAUUUUGUUUGACAAAUCUGUUCAUGUGAAAUAAGUUUGUGCUGAACUUUGCAAUUACUCAAUCAAUCCUCCUUGUGUUCUGGAUUUGGCAUUGUUUUUUAGUAUUCAUGCUUUGUUUCGAUUUGCUUUGUCAUGAAGAUUAUGUAUUUGUGCAUCCUUUUGAAUAAUGAAUACACUUUUUUUUCGACAAAAAAAAAGAAAAAAAAUAAGCAUUAUGAUCCACGUUACAUCUAAUUAGCUAUGGAAGGAAAGAUUAAUAAAUAUUAUACUCUUUUGAUAGAAGGUUACCUACUGUCUGCUGAAGAUUACAUCAAAUUUGGGGUAUUGGAAAACGAAAAUAAAAAUAAAAAUUGAUGUGUUGGCAUCUCACAGGAAAAAGUUGAGGCUUUUUGGUGGAAUUCUGCCUUUCGAUAAUUAGGCCGGUCAAAUAUCUAUAAUUUUGUAACAAGGAUAUAUAGGGACUCACGCUUGAAGAUUCCUGGUGGUGUGCUGCGAUGUAAGAUUACCUUGGAAUUGGUGGCACACAUUCUCUCUCUCUCUCUCUCUCUCUCUCAUGUUUUAGAGUUUUGGCUUUGACAUCCCCUGGUGUAGGAUCCCCUAAGCAUGGUUGCUAAUUCUUGCUCUACGCGUCGCGGUGCCGACAUCGCACUUUGGCCUUCUGCCUAGGGUGCACUAGGGGAUUCUCCUUCGAAGUUUGAAAGACGACCGUCGACUCCUUCCACAGCACCACGGCAAGUUCCCGUGCCCAUCUUCUACCCGUUACGCCCACCAGUAUAAAAAUGAAAAUAGCACUUCAUAUUGAUUUGUCUCAUAGGAUUAGUUCAUGAUUUGUCCUAGAACAGAAAAUGAGCGUAAAAUAGGAAAUGCAUGCACUACUAAUAGACUCUAGGGGCAUUUGUCUUUUUGUUAAGAAAAAAAACAAAAAUACAUUAAAAAGUCUCAUGCAGAUCGCAUAGUUAACAUACUAUAACAUUUAAAAUUCAUCAUGCAUGAUCAUGCAUAACAUUCAUUCAUUUUGUCUGCAUAUCUUCCUAACUUAUAGUUUGAAGAAGACCCAAUGGUGAUGGAUAGUGACAUGUUUUGCUUUGGCGUAGUGAAUCUAGGUGCCUUAAAUUUUUUGUAAUCUGUUUACCUUUUUUGAUUAUUACGAGUUAUUCUCUUGAUUGUGGAUUACCACUCAUAUGUUAGCGAUAUAGGAUAAAAUAGAAAGACGGCCUCCAAAGCAUUUUCGAAAUAAUUUUAUAAAGGUGAAAGAGUCUUUAUAGUCUAAACAAGAUAGUUUGGAAGUUGGAUUCUACUCAAACGAAGCAUUAUCAAUAGAGAAAAAAAAAUGAAAGAAAUAAAUGGCCAUUCAAAACAAUAUCAAUAAUACAUAAUUUCUCGAAUAAAAAAGUUAAUACUCAACUUUUUCUUAUAUGCUGGUUAACAUGCUUUCAUCUUUAUCCUUAUUCAACGCACUUAAUAAUAGAUAAUGAUUCGAAAUUUUCCUGUUGAAAACUAUAUAACAUUUCGACGAGGUGAUACUUAUAUUUUGAAGUAUGGAAAUUCGUAGGGUAAAACUCGUAAGUAUAAAAUCUUAUUUUAGUUUUGUUCUCUAGGUGGAUUAGUUUUUAAAAUUUGCAUUAGAUAACCCUUGUUUGCAUAAAUUAUUCGUCGUCGUUAGAAAUAAUUGACAAUUUACACAAUAUAAGGUCUGAAAUAAAAUUAGAAGGUACGGAGCGCAAAUCUUGGGAAUUAUUUUACUGAUAUUCACGGUUUAAUAUUUAUUUUUCUUAAUUAAGAUAUUUAUUUUUUUGAAAUUAGAAUGAAGAAAUUAGACCUUUCCUGUUAUAUCCCUCAAAAGCUCACUCAAGGUCUCUCUCUUCGCCACCUGUCAAUGCAGACAGAGAGAGAGAAAGAGGGAGAGAGGAGUUUUGAAGCCACAAUGAUUGCUUCCGUGCUGCGGAAAGAUCGUCUUCUCCAUGAAAUGAGAAAACCCUAAAACCCAUCGCUGUCGCUCCCCCAUAAGCUUCACUUCCCUUUCCUCCAUCUCUUCAAUUCCCCAACCACGACCACCACCAUCCCCAAAAGCUCCGCCCACCACAAGCCCACCGGUUGUUCCCCGAUGGCCUCCUCCGCCGCAGCCGCCCAUGGCCGUACCAAGGUGGUGGUCAUCAUGGGCGCCACCGGGUGCGGCAAGUCCCACCUCUCCAUCGACCUCGCCUCCCACUUCCGUUCUGCCGAGGUCAUCAACUCCGACAAAAUGCAAGUCUACCGGGGCCUCGACAUCACCACCAACAAGAUCCCCCCAGAUGAGCGCCGCGGCGUCCCCCACCACCUCCUUGGCUCCCUCGACCCGGAUGACGGCGAGAUGACCCCGUCGCAGUUCCGUUCCCUUGGCGACGCCGCCAUUUCCGACAUCACCUCCCGCGGGAGUCUCCCCCUCCUCGUCGGCGGUUCCACCUCCUCCAUCCUCUCUCUCCUGGUGGAGCGGUUCGACCAGGAGGAAGACGUGCUCGGCAGGCUCGGCCCGCCGGCGAGACCCAAGCUGAGGUACGACUGUUGCUUUCUGUGGGUCGACGUGUCGCUGCCCGUCCUGGAGGAGCACCAGUCGAAGCGCGUGGACGAAAUGCUCGACAAGGGCGCGUUUGAUGAACUCGCCGGAUACUACGACCUGCGCCGGACUGAUCCGGAGGGUUGGACCGGGCUGAGGAAAGCCAUAGGCGUGCCCGAGUUCGACCGUUAUUUCAAGAAGUACCCGCCGCCGGGGGGGGUGUGCCCGGACAGCCCGUGGCGGUGGCAGGAUGCGAGGAAGCGGGACGACGACCCAGUGCGGCAGGGUGCCUACAAGGAGGCGGUGUGGGAAAUAAAGAAGAAUGCGUGCCAGCUGGCGAAGCGGCAGAUUGAGAAGAUCCAGCGGCUGAGAGGGUGCGGGUGGGAGCUCCGUAAGCUGGACGCGACGGAGGUGGUCCAGCUGGCGAUGGCGGCCGAGGAGGAGGGAGGCAGCGGCGUCAGGUGGCAGGGCGUUUGGAAGAGGCAGGUCGUUGGGCAGAGCGUGAACAUUGUCAGGCGGUUCUUGCACAAGUAGGUGUCGUUUUCUCCUUUUUGAUUGGGGGAUUUGGUUCUGUCAAUAGUACUCGGGAACCCGAGUCAGGCAGCGGGCUCUUCUUCUUCUUAUUUUUCUUUUUUUUUGCCUUUUUCUUUUUGGGGCAUUGCCGAAAAGGUCGAAAAUGGUAUAAAAUUCAAGGAGAGUUAUUUUGCCUUCUUGUCCUGGGACUCCGGAUCGCAUGUAAGCCUGAAAAUUUCCACGUACGAGACAGGACUCGUGGUUUCGUUUCGGACACUGGCCACUCAGUUGCUCAAAACCCAUGUCGCUCACAAAUCACUAAACUAAGACCCUUAUUAACGUCUUGAUUAGGACGUGGGUCAUGAAUAGACCCUUAUUAAUAAUGGAAGAAGCUCAUUUCGGUAAUAUGCUUCUUCUAGCUCGUUUCGGUAACAAUGAUGCUUCUUCUUAUUACGUGCAUCAUAAAUUGCAAGAAAAUUGCAGCACUGAACACUAGCUAGAGUUUUGAUAACCUAGAGUCUUCAUUUCCAGAUGUGCCUUUGGACGCUAUCUAGAUGAAACACAACAGAUUAGGCGAUUUUUAGCGAUGAUAUCGGUAAAAAAGUGUUUGCAUGUCCAUGCAUUUGCUGAUUAUCCUAUUCAAUCGCUUAACAAGUGUUUCGGACCUUGAUUGGCAUGCUUCUUCCAAAGAUGAUGCUUGAAGAGUGAUCAAGAAGAUAAUAAAAGGUGUUAAUCAUCAUGGUCGGGUCGAGCCGUAAACCUAGAUGAUAAAAAGUACCUCUAGGAUUAAAGGUACCUCGAGGAUUACAACAUCUUCUUCUUAUGAUUACGGCUCGACCUGACCCUCAUGAUUACCACCUUUUGUCAUCUUCUUCCAAGAGAAAUCAAGCAUCAUGGCUACAACCCGAACCGACCAAUUGCCAUCUUUUAUCACCUUCUUCCAAAAGAAAUCAAGCAUCGGGAUUACCUUUUAUCAUUUUAGUAAUGAUGAUGCUUUGCUGAAAUGACCUUCUUCCGAAGAAAAAAGCGAAGUUGGAUUUUUGCUUUUGGGGUAGACUCGCAGGCAUUAUAACCAACGAAGUUGGACGUUAAUAACGGACGUGGGACAUAUAUAGACCUUUAUCAAUAAUGGAAGAAGCUCAUUUCAAAUUACCGUGUGGUGACCUUACCCUUGUGAUACACCACCUAGGAAUUUAACUAAUAGAUUAUUAAGCCUAAUCCUAACUCGGGCUUUUUCUAAACCUAUAUCAAUUCGCAACUUAUGAUUCAUAUUCUUAAGGUGUGUUUGGUUUAACUUUUUCAAUAAACUUUCAGCCUUUAAAGUCCCUUGAAGAAAUGCUGAGGUGUUCAAAGGGCUUUUAGUCAAAUGCUGGCUUUGGAAAAGCUAAAAAUUCAGUGCUGAUGGGGACUAAUUUUGGACUUUUAGUAUUUGAUCAAAUGUCGAAACUAUUUUUUUUUUUCAAAACUACUAUCACAAUUUCUUUUAGUUUUUUGGUUUUACCUCUUAUUGUUCUAAAACUGCCCUUACCUUCACUAGAGUCGGCAAAGAGUUUGAGAUUUUUUAAUAAAAAAGAAAAAUGAAAUCAAAAAGUCUUUAAUAAAAAAAGACCAGUCAAACACUCUUCAUGCUAAAAUUGCUUUGCAAAGGACAUUUUCCCAAAGUCCUUUAAGUCAAAGAUAUGUAUAUUUCUCCAAGGACCAUUUCCAAAGUUGAACCAAACACAACCUUAAUAGACAAAUCAUUUUCAAUAUGGAGUCGUCAUCAAUAAGUUACAGUAGGUCGAUAGUAAAAUAAUAGGAAAAUUAUUUUACUCUUACGAACUAAAGAUUCUAGAUGCAUGAAUUUUGAUCGUAUUAGAUUUCUCUAAUACUAUUUUGAUUCAUUCUUUUUAUGAAGAAUAUAUUUGACAAGCAACUCAAAUUCAUUUUAUUACUUUCUAACGUGUGAAAUAAUCAUAUAGGUGUGUAAAUCACCAAUUUCCUAAAGCUCCGGCUUUUUUUGACGGGUAAGGCGUCGCCGCAUUCCUCGAGAUCGUGGGAGAAGGAGAUUCGAGGGCUGCGCAGACCAGAGCUGGAUAUCUCCGAGAGUCCGAGCAAACGUGGAUCGCCAUCACCGGACCACUAUCCUUCUCUACUAGUUUCCCCAGAUAAGUGUUGCCUAAAGUUUUGAGGUCGGUCAGCUGGGGCCCACGGUCUCCCUUUCCCAGAUUUUCUUUUUUUCAUCUCCUCUCGAGAUAAAAUGUAAACGCCUUUCGACAUGACGUUUCCCUUUUCCCCUUUUAAUUUUUCCUCCUUUUUUGACCGUAAUUAAUUUAUUCGUAAUCAAACUCCCCGCUUUUUUAAAUAUCCACUUUUAACUUGGAUUACGAUAAUAACAAUAAUGAGAGCAAGUCCGUUGAGGCUUGUACAGUUUUUUAGUACAAAGAAAAGAGAGAAGAAAAACCAAUAAAUAUGUAUGUAUGUAUUACAUAUUAAAAGAAGAGUAAUGCUAGGCUUUAGAGUUGAUUUAUAAAAUAGAUUUACCAAGUGAUGUGUACAAUACAUUGUGUGUGUGGUUUUUUUAACAAGCGGGUUCUAAUCAUGAAUUAAGAACAGCUUGACGUAUGGCAAUUUUGUAAGCCAGGCAGAUGAGUCAAGCGAUUUUCAUGUAAGAAGGAUCUAACCACGACUCUUCUUGAUUUUUUCAUAUAAGAACACCAGGGAUUCCUUCUCCACUUUUUAAGAGUUUGUUUGAACAAAGAUGUGUCUCAAAAUGUCAACUAACUGCUUUUAUGGAUAGGUGUCUUAAUUUCAAUACUAUUUUUGUCAAGAAAAUAUCCACCAUUUUUCUUUUCGGACUUUUACAUAUGGAUUUUUUAAGUUAUGUGCAUCUAUUGCAAAGGGAAAGAGGUAAUUACACGAGUUCAAACUCAAACUUCAACUUGUUGUUCAAUUAGAAAUAACUUCACCAUCAAUUUAUUUUGUUCUCAUUUUUAUUUUCAAUGAAGUGGUUGAGAAUGUAAUAAAAUUUGUGCUUUUUCCAUAUCCUUAUUUAAAUAGACAAAUGGUUUCAUGGGAAAGUUUAUAGGAGUGGAAUUGUCAUUUUACUAUGGAUGUUAUCACUUCCAUUGGGGUCUAUUUGCAUCGCAUAUAUAUAUUUUUUUUUGUACUUCAAGUCUUCGUUCGCCACUUUCAUUGAUUUGGCCUCCUUCAUCCAUGGUUAUGUCCAUGGUUAUGUCUUUUGAAUGUGCCACUAAACGCAAGGUGGAAGAGGUGGAGAAGUGAUCGAAAAGGUAUUAAAGCGAGAAUCACGGUUGUGCCACCUUUUUGAAAAAAUGCAAGUCGCCGUACUCUCCAGCAGGCCAUCCUCCGCGGAUUGGACACUUAUAAGUUGUCACAUCUAGUGACUGCGUUCCAUCUUAAUGGGGGAUGAUUAAGCCUUUUUGAUUAAGCCCUAAUUAAUUAUGAGAUCAAGCGCUCUUUUCUUCUUCCUUUAUGGGAGGAAACGACAUGAGUGGAAGCAAUGGUUGUCCCCCGUCCUUUGUGCGUUCCGUGCAUUUGAGGCUCACAGAGGUGGAGGUGGUCUUUAUCUGGAAGAGAUUUUAUGCUUUUUGCCUAAAUUUGACAAGAUUUUGCAUGGUUAUCAUCAUACACGACCCAGCUACAUCGUUAUCGAUGAGGUGAUUGAGGUUUGAAAAAUCAUCAAGUAUUUAAAUUACUGUCGACAGAUGGAGCAUGCAAUAAUAGGAAUAGUACAUGUAACUUGCUCUUGCUACUUCUCUUGUCGCACUAGCGGGAUGAUGCUUCUACGGAGGUGGUGUAAAAAGAAUGUCAAAGCUUCAAAAGUAUUCACGGUCCUAGUCCGACGAAAGACGCAAAGACAAGUAACAUGAGAAUAAUAAUGUGGGAGGAGAGCCCACCCCCAAGUUUACCUGCUUGUAGAGCAUUGAAAAUGGUGUUUUGGAGACGAGAACAUUCUCGUCCGAUCCCACUUUCCAUCGUACCGAUUAGGAAAAAGGGCUGGACCCACAUCGAGACCUACCACUGAGAUACUCGAUUUGUGCCACAGCUAUCGUUUACUCUUGAAGUGAGUCAGUCAGUUGAUGCCUCAUUUCCUAAUCCGAGUAAGAGUAAAAUCGGUGGGGCGGGGGGGAUCCUUGUGCCCGCCAUUCGAGUCGAAUAACGCCGCCGGAGCUACAAACGUAGCAUGCAAGCCUCUUUGACCUUUAGUAGCCAUGAAUUCACACGGUAAAUCUGGCUAAAAAGUCCAUUACGUCCUCUUCCGAAAUCAGCGUUCGAAAGAUGGUGCCUGAUCCUAUGCGUUCCCAAUUCCAAGAAAAACGAUAAUGAGUGGCUACCGACUAAGCUACGUGGCCUAAAUGUUGAAGGCUCGGAAGGGAUCGAGAUGGGACAGUGGGGGCGUUCAAACUUGGGGACCCACGAAACUAGGAUGCUAUUUAAUUAAACAUCACCCAGUUUCGGUCUCCAGUGUCUAGAACCCAACCCAUACAUACCCAGUUUGUAAAUGCCUAUAGAGAAGAAAAAAAAAAGAAAGAAUCUGACUUCUUCAAUUUGGAAAAUGAAUCAUUUAAAGAUCAUUUUUUUGAAAAAUUAAUUGAAAGAAAUGCGGGGCAAAUAAGAUUGUUUAUUGAAAUUUGUUGACAAAUUGAUAUUAUAACUUAUAAAUGGAUGCUUGAUGAUGUCUCAUUUGCCUGCAUAUAGAUUUGGUAUUUAUAAUUCACUUUGCUCAACAAAAAAUAGUUCCAACAAGUCAAAGCAUUAUUGAAGACUCAUUGUUUAAUUCAACUGAAAAGCAUGCAUAAAUACAUGAAUGUCAAUCAUCCAAGUGUCUUUAUUUCUGAAAAGAUGUAGUUGGAAUUAGAUACCGCUUGAUCCCUUAAUUAAGAAAAAGAGAGAUUCUUAAUAUGCAAAAUUGGAUAUAUACAAAAGUACAUCCUAAUUAAUUUUUUUUUAUAUAAUCUAAAUGCACGAGCAUGGAAACUCAGCUAUUUACAUAUUCAUCGAACAUAUAACAAGUUUUAUAAAUUGGUUAAAUUUAAACUUUUGAGUUGUGCAAGCGACCUUUAACCAAAAGCAGUAUGUAUGGUUAUUAAAGCUUUGAUGAAGGGGCUUGUCAGAUGGUCCAAAACUGAUAUUUUUUAUUUUNNNNNNNNNNNNNNNNNNNNNNNNNNNNNNNNNNNNNNNNNNNNNNNNNNNNNNNNNNNNNNNNNNNNNNNNNNNNNNNNNNNNNNNNNNNNNNNNNNNNCCUUUUGAGGUUUUGCUGAGGGCACUUUAGGUUAUAUGGGUCUUUCAAUCUCGAUUGAAAACUCAAUUGAUACAAAGUAUUGAAAGAGAGAUAUGAUGUGGUUGAUAUACCAUUCUCUUCCCCGCCUUCUACUUAAAAGAAAUAAAAUAAAUGAAGUAUGACUUUGUCUAUCAAUCAAAGAGAUAGAAAGAUGUUCUUUCCAAAAAAGAUUUUCCCUAAAAAAAAAAAAAAAAAAAUUUCCCUUUUUAUAAGUAUGUUAUAUUAGCUUACCAAGAAUGAACGGUACAAACUGAACAAAUUUACUGAUCGGGAAAAGCACUAAUUUGGAAUAUUCACCCGAUUUUUCACCGGGCAUCUCGAUUCACAAACUUAGAUUUAUUCAUGAAAAUGGAAGUUCCGUGUCGUAGCAAAACAAAAACCCUAGGUCGAUCGCUUCCCUUCCGUUUUUCCCUCAUCACGGGCCAAAAUUCUAUCAUUUGUGCGUCGGUUUUGCCUCCUUUCCUUCCUCCAUUCCUCCAUUCCUCCAUUCAUCUCAUUUUCUCCGUCAAACCCACAAACCAGAUUCUCCUCUCUGCUUGCACGCGCCGCUCUGACAAAAUCCCAAAAGAUUCGAAAGCUGCAAGUUGCUGACUUCUCUCUCGAAUCUCCUUCUCCCACGAUCUCAAGGAAUGCGGCGACGCCGUCCCCGUCGAAGAAGAUGACCGCAGUCGACGCGAGAGGCUCGACCGGUCGCUGAUGGACUCCGACUCCGACUUCUGCGUCGGCGGGUCGAGUUUCGUCCUCCAGCUCUCCUCAGCCGACGAGCUCUUCUCCGACGGCGAGAUCCUUCCCGACGAGAUCAGGAGGGACAGAGUGGUAACUGCCGACCACAGUAAUUGUCUGCCGAAUACCUUGGUCUCAUCCUCCUUCUCCAUCUGGGACUCCGAUUUCUAGUGCUGCAUUCACGGAGAAGAGGAGUCUGAAGGAGCUCCUCUUCGGACAGCUUCGACGACGACGACGAAGGAGAUGAGAAGCCGCUGCCCAAGCCAUUCUGGCAAUUCAAGUGCACUUAAUUGUGACGUUGCCAAGAGCAGAGGACCGAUUCGGUUGCUACAGUUCCUCUCGCGGCGCAACUCGACCGGUUCAGUUCCAAAUCCAAAGGACAAAUUCGCCUCCAAGGACAACCCGAGGCAGAAUUUGCAUAAACAGCCUUCCAUAUUAGAUCAAAGAUGGUCGUCGGAGUCAUAUCAAUCCUCCUUCGGCAUGCCAUCAGAAGCCCCCGACGACGAACAAACGAGACAGACCCAGCGUGAGGGUCAAUCCUGAAUUGAAUUUUCAGCCCCACAUCAAACGAUCAGGACGGUGAGCUCGUUCGGGCUCGUUUCGCUUUUUUGUAAUGGCAAGGUCAAGAAGAAGAAGAAACGAGUCAUCCUCAUUAAUCUGCUUUGUUAAUUUGCAUUAGAGCAUAGAGAAAAAAGAAGAAGAAAUGAGCUUUUUGAAUGCUAUAUAGAUUUUGCGGCGGUAGAUAUGGGGGACCUGAUGGAAUUAGCAUGGGAUAAGGUUCUCGAAAAGAAUUCCAGGAAAAUAUAAUGUACGAAAUACAUGUUUAAAGAUCAGGUUUCGUUUUCUGAUAGUGGGCCCUAUAAGCCUCUGACCAGCGUUGCAUUAGCAUCAGGUAAGAUAUAAUCAUCUUGUUGUCUAUCCAGCCGAAAGUCGUACGCUGUUGUCAGUAUUCUAAAUUCAUCUUGUUUUGGGGACUUUUUUAUAAUAUCUCGGACUUCUAAGCGACGUGAAAAAUAUAUAGAAUUUGCAUAAUAGUGGCAAACGUACAAUGAGGCAAGAGAAUUUGCAUAAUUGCAUCGUAUUCUUUGUGAGUUUUUUUGUGUGAAUAUUUUUUUUUCUUUUUAAGGUUCAGGGGAUGCAGAGAAAGCAAAGGAGUACAUAGCCAAAAGGAGUGAUGAGCAAACAGAUGGUGACGGUGCGGUUUUAUCCCUCGUGCUCAAAGCUAUGUCCAUCAGAUUGUUCAAUAUGCUCCUAAUGACCGGUAAUAUGUAAUGCCAAAUCUGUAUGUUCGAAGUUCAUAUCGACAAAUAUUGCAAUGAUCCCAAGCAUUGUUCUGAGAACAUUCGCGCUACGUUGUCUCGAAUGCUAUGGAUGCAUCUUUUGGUUUUCCGACUGCAGUUAUGUUCUUGCUUCAUGUCCUCAUGAUCUCAAUCACGAUCACGAGGCAAAGGAAGAACAGGGUUUUAACACUAGUCAAACUUGUGUAUCUAAUUGCUCAACUGACCACCCUUGUACUGAUUGUAAUCUUACGGCUACUUAAAGCGCCACUUUUAACUCUUGUAAUUAGUUUCAAACUCCCGUCGAAUUUUAUGAUGGAAGAUUUAAGCACAAUAGUGAUAGCCACUCUCCUGUCGCAAAACUCCAUCUUUGGCAAUGGCUUUUUAUGGCCAUCCUGGAAAUCCCUAAUAUGCCUAACACUUUUCGUUUAAACAUUGCACUGAUGAAGAUAAUUUUAAAAAGUAUAGUAUUUUCUAAGCAUAUGUAACCAUUGGUCUUUCCCAUCACAACUUUAUUACUUUUGUGCUCCACUAAGAAUUGUUUAGUAACAAUUUGUUGAUGGGGCUUUAUACGUAUAUACAAAUUGACAAGCAUUAAGACUAAAAAGUAUAUAUAUAUAUAUAUAUAUAUUUUUUUUUAAGUAUGGUAGAAAAGUUUAGCGGCGAAUAUGAAAAUCAUGUACAUAAAUGGAUUAAUAGGAUGAAUUUUCAAAAGCUAAAUGAGUAUUGAUAGCUUAUAUGUUGUCUCAAUAUAUUGUUUUGUCUACAUUUCUUCAUUUGCCAGAUAUCAUGGUGUAGACAAAGUACUCUAUCAAAUCUUGUAUAUCAUCUCUAUCAAUCACAAUUAGAGACUUAACAAGUGAGCUCAUUGAACAUUAAGUACGCAAUAUGUUUAUGUUUUCUAAUUUUCAUAUUGAUAUUCAUUUUAAUAUACAAUCAUAAGAUUGAAUGUGAUUAAUUUAAAUUUAGUUGAAGUCUUAAAGCUUUAGGAUGAUUAGAAUGCAACUAACUAUAACUGAAUUAGGUUUUGCGGCUGAUUUAAUAAAUCUUAUUCCAAGUUUUGAUUGAAUUUCUUAUCUUAGUCAGCUAAAGUUGGAUCUUUAUUAGUGGUCAGCUCAACUAUAUAUUAAAUAAGACUUGGCCGACCUAAUCUCAGGAAUGAGUAACAAAGUCUAUGUCAACAUGACCACCUCAUACAUCCGGUAGCCAUUCCGUUGGUGAAAAGCAUAAGCAUCAUUAUACAUUAAGCUUUUCCACAGAAUUGGCAAGGAUGGAGGCUACAAUUUAUCUGAGAACAAGCAUGUAUUUUGAUAAAUUGAAGCGUUGGGAAUUAGGAUGGAAAUGAACAGCGACCAAAUUUGCUGGGUUUCAUUUUGAACUUACAAUUAAUUGAUAGGAAACAACUUGCAUUGACCAGGUGGUACUAUAUUGCUUUUUAAUAAUUUCUCUAGGUUUGGUGGGUAUUUCAUAAUGCACUAUUGGAAAACGGGCUUAAUAUUAUUUGAAAUGUGAAUACCAUAAAAUGGUGCCGAGUACUGAAAAUUAGCUGAUGGUUGUGGCUUCGGGCAAAUCCGAGAACCUCUUCCAGAGUAUGUUACCUCAAGGAUGUUAUUGAUUUACUUCCCAUAAAGGUAUCCACUUAACAGUCCGUGGCAUGGGCGCACAUAUACUCUUAUCCAUGAGAUAUGCUCAUCUUGUCUUUAUUGAUACCUAAAUUUUGGCUAUCUAUUUAGGGUUUAAUUAUAUAGAAAAUUGGGAAUUAAUUUUUAACUCCUAAAAAAUCAUUUAAAUUGCAUAGCAUAUAACCUUUAGGAGUAUCUGCAUUGAGUAGUGAUAGAAUUCAUGAAAAUUAUUAUUACUUUAUUUAUUAGAAGAAAAGAGGAGACGGAGCCAGACUGUGUCGGGUCAACCCAGACCCCUAUCUCUUUUCCGGCUGGGCCUGGCCCAACUCUUUUCUCUCUUUUCUUUUCCUCGGUGCAGGCCGGCCCAUCAUCGUUUUUCCCAGGCCCGGCCCACGUGUUGGUGUGCUUCUCCUUCAUGCCGCUCACGCCUUCUGCAAAAGGAACAGCGACACAGGCAGAGCAGGAGGAAAGCAGCUGUCGGCGUGAUCCGCGGGGGUCAGGCCGACCUGUAAGCUGGCAAUGGCAGACGCCAUGCGUGCUUACCAGUUUCCCUUAAAAGUAAAAGAGGAGGCUCACUCACUGGAGACAGAGAGAGAGCGAAGAAGAGACCGAGAGUAAGAAAUUUUUUGUCCGCUCGCUUGAACCACCCUCGACCUUCGUGGGAAGCCAACUAGCCCGUCGCCGUUCGUCACUGCAAACUCCCAAACCAGGUAACACCGGAAAGGUCCUGCCUCUUCCUUGCUUACUGAGUUUGAGAACGUCAAACCGAACCGACGAGAAUUUGGGCAAACCGUACAAAACCCAAACUGAUUUGUUGCCACUAAUGCCGAUUUAGAGCUCAAUAUACUGGGUUUAAGCCACGAACGACGUUAAAUCUGAAUCUGAAAGUGGUAUGUCGAAUUGCACAUCAACUUUUUGACGAAAUGCUUGAAUGAAGCCCCGAAUUGGAGUUCAUCAAAUUGAUACUUAAAAUCUUUGUGUUGCGCUUAGUUUGUUCUAACAUUAUUGCAUUAUUACUGAAUCUGGGUUUCUCUUUGAUUUUGUGACAUCAUUUGAUGCACGAGUCGGCCGUGGAUAACGUCUUCACGCCGAAAAAUCCACAGCCCUCGCCGGAGAAGUCCGCGGUUAGAAGCCGCCAUAGUCGGUCUUACUUUCGUCUCGGUGUGCAUAUACAUGUUUGGUUUGUUGGGAGGGCUUUCGUUUUGCAAUCGGCGACGUUUGGUGUUAACAUCGAGUCGAUUAGAGUUCUGGCGCGAGUUACUUCAAUGAAGUUUCAGUAUUGAAUUCGAUGGAGAAAAAGCAUUGGUGAAGAAGAUCUCGUCGUGGGAGAGCUCUCAAAGAAGAAGACGACGCAGAGCAAAAGAAAAGGGCAAAAAUAAUAUAAAAAAAUAAAAAAUUGAGAUUAAAAAAAUCAGAAGAGAACCAAAAAUUCGGAUCAGGUGGCCAGGUCAGGGAGUUGUGGGUGAAGAAUAGGAUGGGCUUUUUUUGAGCGUGUGGGCUAGAUGAUUUUUGAUAGAAGAUGGGCUUGAGAUAGUUUUUCUUGUGAGGGAUAUGGGCUUGUUACAGUUCUAGUCGAGCUGGGCUUUAUUUAGUUUGAAUACACUCGGGCUUGAAUUGUUGUAGAGGCCAACCCAUCAAAUUCAGGUCGGGCCAUACUCGGACUGGGCCCUAGGGCCGGUCCGAUUUCGGACCCAACCUGGACCGGUAAGGUCCGAGUCCGACAACAAUCGGACCGGUUUCUCUGACCCGAGCCGAGUCACAUAUUCCAGAAUUAAAAAUUCAAAAAUUAAUAAAAAAUAUAAAUCAUUAAAAUAAUUUAAAAUUCAAAAAAUGUAAAAAAAGUAAAUAUAAAAAAAAUAGAAAAUGCUUAAAAUAGGUAUUCAUGAAAUUUUUAAGUUUUUUAGCAUUAGAUUUAGUUUAGUUUCAUUUAAUUAGUAUACAUGUAGCAUAGUCCUAGUGGAGUAUCAUUUUGAAAGAAAUUAAACUUGAUUUGAAUAUAGCUCAUGGGGUUCAUGUCCUAGGGCUUAUAACGUGGCCAUGUAUAUUCUUUGCUUGGCUUGUAUUAGGUUUUCUUUUUGGCAUUUACUUUAAAAGUCAUUUCAAUACUUGGGUGCUUGUUUAACGUACCAUUUUUCAAUAAAUUGGUUGUUUAUCGCUUUCUCAGAAUAGGUUAGGAUUAAUUUAGACUUUGAGGAAACUGAACCCUACAAAAACAUUUGCAUGAUCAUUUAGCAACUUUGAUGCAUUUAGGACUAUAAUUGGCAAUUAAGACUGUGUGACCACUUAAGUAAUGACCUUCUAAGUUAGAGGUAUCAAAAGGGUGCUAAUAGACAUUGGCGUAAUCAAUUUCCUAACUCUAAAAUUUUUGGUUGCGUAGGAAUUGAGACGAUACUCCAGUGUUUCGAUUGAUUUCUAAAUCAACCUCAAUAGGCUAAUGACAACUUUUAGAAAUAUUUAUAUUGUUAAGAAUUAAAAAGAAAAAAGAAAAAAAAGAAAAUGAAAUCCAACAUUGUGCGAGGUAUGAGCUUGAGAGGGCCCGCCCUUAAUCAAGGGCCGUUGGCUUGAAUUAGGCAAUACCCUUAAUCUAUUUCUUUUCCCUUCCAAACAUAAAGGGUAGGUCACGAUAGUCUUUUUUUUUUUGCCAAGAAGAAUCCAACUCUUCUUUUUGUAUAUUAUGCCCUUAUCAGAUACUUUGCAAGUAAUUGAACGAUUCUCUUUUAAUACUACUACAUAAGCAAUUCAUCACUAAUAAUAAUAUCGACUGCAACUUGGUCAUGUAUAGGUCUAGAUGAUCACCAGAAUCUUUCUACCGUAGCUGAAACAGCUUUUUACAUCUUGUUAGCAAGUUUUCUAACAAUAUUGCCCUCAAAAUUUUGAUUGAAGGUUUUAGAGAUUAAUGAUCCCAAAGCCUAGACAUUUGUUACACUCUAAGGGUCCCAAGCCUAGGCCCUAGCGCUGGGUAUCCAGGCACAAGUAACGAGGUCCGGUGCCCAGCCUCGAUGGACAAGGCUCCUCUCUGUUUCUGUCCGCCUCCUUGUCUUCACCUUGAGAAGUUAUAGUCGAUCUUCCUUCGCUGAACCCUCCCACUUACCUCUCUUUACAUAACGCUUCUCUUCUUUGGGUGAAUACAGCUGAGAGGAUCGGCCCACAGAUGGGAUCCGAUGGAGGUCCAGCUCCAAUAACCAUUCAUGCUUUUGCUGUAGCGAGAGUGUAAGUGCUCUAACAACAACAACCCAAAUGGACUC